This 253-nucleotide ribosomal RNA is filed under the name uncultured bacterium. Its description in RNAcentral is "partial 16S ribosomal RNA". It matches the Rfam family "Bacterial small subunit ribosomal RNA", at positions 524 to 776 of the family's 1533-position model. The record is from RNAcentral.
UACGAACUGCGCGAACGUUAUUCGGAUUCACUGGGCUUAAAGGGUGCGUAGGCGGCUUGUUAAGUGGGAUGUGAAAUUUUGCGGCUCAACCGUAAGACUGCAUCUCAUACUGGCAAGCUUGAGUGAGUCAGGGGUGUGUGGAACUGCCAGUGGAGCGGUGAAAUGUGUUGAUAUUGGCAGGAACGCCGGUGGCGAAAGCGACACACUGGGGCUUAACUGACGCUGAGGCACGAAAGCCAGGGGAGCAAACGGG